RNAcentral lists this small nuclear RNA (21 nucleotides) under Arabidopsis thaliana (thale cress). Its description in RNAcentral is "snRNA_12374". The record is from RNAcentral. Lineage: Eukaryota; Viridiplantae; Streptophyta; Magnoliopsida; Brassicales; Brassicaceae.
AUAUAACUUAAAAGCAUUUAU